AGCUCGUGUCGUGAGAUGUUGGGUUAAGUCCCGCAACGAGCGCAACCCCUGCAUUCAGUGCCAUCGGGUAAUGCCGGGCACUCUGGAAGGACUGCCAUCGACAAGAUGGAGGAAGGUGGGGAGUGACGUCAAGUCAUCAUGGCCCUUAUGUCCAGGGCGACACACGUGCUACAAUGGCCGGCACAACGGGAAGCGAGUUCGCGAGGACGAGCGGAUCCCUCAAAGCCGGUCGCAGUUCGGAUUGAAGUCUGCAACUCGACUUCAUGAAGCUGGAAUCGCUAGUAAUCGUGGAUCAGCCAAGCCGCGGUGAAUACGUUCCCGGGCCUU
This 327-nucleotide ribosomal RNA is filed under the name uncultured Synergistaceae bacterium. RNAcentral's name for it is "bacterial SSU rRNA". It matches the Rfam family "Bacterial small subunit ribosomal RNA", at positions 1057 to 1382 of the family's 1533-position model. The record is from RNAcentral. Lineage: Bacteria; Thermotogati; Synergistota; Synergistia; Synergistales; Synergistaceae.